GUCUACAGCCAUACCACCCUGGUCAUGCCUGAUCUUUGAAGCUAAGCAGGGUCGGGCCUGCUUAGUACUUGGAUAGGAGAAAUAGCAAAAUUUUAUUUU
RNAcentral lists this ribosomal RNA (99 nucleotides) under Propithecus coquereli (Coquerel's sifaka). The record is from RNAcentral. Lineage: Eukaryota; Metazoa; Chordata; Mammalia; Primates; Indriidae.